RNAcentral lists this non-coding RNA (80 nucleotides) under Gracilinema caldarium. RNAcentral's name for it is "Treponema caldarium Fluoride sequence". It matches the Rfam family "Fluoride riboswitch aptamer (crcB RNA motif)". The record is from RNAcentral. RNAcentral also lists the same sequence under 1 other name. Lineage: Bacteria; Pseudomonadati; Spirochaetota; Spirochaetia; Treponematales; Breznakiellaceae.
AUUUAAAGCGGUGAUGGAGUCCACCUUGGCACCAGCCUGAACCGCCCGGGAUAUCCCCUGCUGAUGACUCCUUCCGAUAC